This 1827-nucleotide ribosomal RNA is filed under the name Candidatus Dadabacteria bacterium. RNAcentral's name for it is "bacterial LSU rRNA". It matches the Rfam family "Bacterial large subunit ribosomal RNA", at positions 1948 to 2924 of the family's 2925-position model. Lineage: Bacteria; Pseudomonadati; Thermodesulfobacteriota; Candidatus Dadabacteria. The record is from RNAcentral.
GUCCUAAGGUAGCGAAAUUCCUUGUCGGGUAAGUUCCGACCUGCACGAAUGGCGUAACGACUUCCCCAUUGUCUCAACCACGGACUCAGUGAAGUUGAAAUCCGAGUGAAGAUGCUCGGUAGCCGCGGAAAGACGGAAAGACCCCGUGGACCUUUACUACAACUUCGCUUUGAUUCCGGGGGCUGCAUGUGUAGGAUAGGUGGGAGGCUUUGAAGCCGGGACGCCAGUUUCGGUGGAGCCAACCUUGAAAUACCACCCUUGCAGUCUCUGGUCUCUAACUGAGGGCAGUGAAUCCUGUUCCAGGACAGAGCGUGGUGGGUAGUUUGACUGGGGCGGUCGCCUCCCAAAAUGUACCGGAGGCGCACAAAGGUGGGCUCAGCGUGCUUGGAAACCACGCGUCGAGUGUAAAGGCAUAAGCCCGCUUGACUGUGAGAGGGACACCUCGAACAGGGACGAAAGUCGGUCUUAGUGAUCCGGCGGUUCUGCAUGGAAGGGCCGUCGCUCAACGGAUAAAAGGUACCCCGGGGAUAACAGGCUUAUCUCUCCCAAGAGUUCACAUCGACGGGGAGGUUUGGCACCUCGAUGUCGGCUCAUCACAUCCUGGGGCUGAAGCUGGUCCCAAGGGUUCGGCUGUUCGCCGAUUAAAGUGGUACGCGAGCUGGGUUUAGAACGUCGUGAGACAGUGGACAUUAACGCGCUGUCUUAAAAUCUGGCUAUAUGCUGGAAAGCCUGGUAAGUAUCCCAAGUUACCAGUAUACUGAAAGUAAUAUAUCAAGUUCUGGAGAACCGGAGCUUGGGGUUAUUUAACUAUUAGGUAUGCGGUAAAAAUACUAUGGGUGCAGGUAACCAGCAGGGAAGGCCAGAUCCCUAUUAUCUUUCCGGUUAUAUCGCGGGGUUUGUUGAUGGCGAAGGCAGUUUUCACGUCGCAGUUCAAAAGAACCCAACUGCAAAAUUCAAAUGGCAGUUGGUCCCUGAAUUUCACAUCUCACAGCAUGUGUGUAAUAAACACGUGCUCGAGAUAAUUCAGGGGGCUUUAAACUGUGGCUAUGUCAAAGCCAAUCAUAAAACAAACGAACGUGAUCUGACCUGGGUGUUUGUCGUUAGAUCAAGAAAAGAUUUAAUUGAAAAGGUAAUACCAUUUUUUCGUCAAUACCCUUUGCAAACUUCCAAAAAAGACGAUUUUGAAACGUUUGCAGAAAUUGUAUUGGCAAUGAAUAGUGGUAUUCACCUGACUCGAAGUGGCCUAAGUGAUUUAUUAAAGAAAGCUUACUCAAUGAAUCGCUCUGGCCAAUAUCGACAAAUUCCACUGGAAAGAAUUUUAGAGGAUCUGGAACCCUCAGAGACUGUACGCCGGACAGUAUAGUCGCUCAACAUCUGACGAUGUUGCAGUGGUGUUUUGGAAGACUAUACUGAAGAUACAGUCCGAACUGCAUGGCGACAUGCAGAGGUAAGAUGAAAAUCUUAUCCGCCUUGAAUGCAUCAUUCAGGGUUUGUAGGGUAGUUAUUUAUGACUACCUGAAAGUAACAGAAUGUCGGUCCCUAUCUUCCGUGGCCGUAGGAGAUUUGAGAGGAGCUGCCCUCAGUACGAGAGGGCCGGGGUGGACGAACCGAUGGUGGACCAGUUGUCACGCCAGUGGCACAGCUGGGUAGCUAUGUUCGGAAUAGAUAACCGCUGAAAGCAUCUAAGCGGGAAGCUAGCCUCAAGAUCAGAUCUCCCUCCCUUCGGGGCUAAAGGCACGUUCGAGACUAGGACGUUGAUAGGCUGGAGGUGGAAGCGCAGCAAUGCGUGGAGCUGACCAGUACUAAUUUGCCGUGAGGCUUACUUUC